UAAGUUCAAAUAUAAUCAAUGGCAGAUAUUAUCUGUCAGACUCAGCUGUUAAAGAACUGAUUAUAAUACAUUUUAUAAUAUAUGUCUGAAACCAAUAUCCUGUAAAAUAGUUAACAAGAUAAAUUAUAUGAAAUAUGGACACCCAAAAAUUUCACUUCAGAUGUAGUGGGUAACAAACAAUUAUUAUAUUGCACAGCAGGUGUACUGUGACAAUGUUUACCAAAUACAAUAACUUUAGACUUGGAUGGAUUCACACUGAGAUCAAGGAAUCCCUAUUUGUAAUAACUCAAGGCAUAGAAUAUCUAUGUUUACACUAUUAAAAGCACCUGCGAUGUCAAAGAAUACACCGACCAAGUUUUCAAUUUAUGGAUAUAGAGUUUUGUAUAUCCAGCUGUAACUGGCAAACGCUUUCUCUAGCAGAACGAUUUCUACGAAAACCAAAUUGAUUGGAAGGAAUAUGAUAACUAGUACCAAGAGGACAAUCAUGUACAGACCAGUCACAGUUGAGAGCCAGUGAUGAAGAUACCAAUGAUAAAUCCAAAGCAUUGGGUCGCCAUGUUGGAGAACCGAUAGUCGUUGCUUGCCCAUCAUUAAGGAGAACCAAAUUAUUAUCCUCAAUAACCUCUAGAAUAUUUCGACCACGCGGGCUGUCGGAACCACAGCCCCAACAAGUGUGAUGAGCGUUAAAAUCGCCCGCAAAUAUGAAAGGACUAGGAAUAGACUUAACCAAUGUAUCAAAAUUGUUUUGCUGAAGACUGGGUUAGAGUUUAAAGGACUAUAGAAACUAACUAUACAUAUAUCUUUAUUAUUAACUGUUAUUUUCACACAUACAUUUUGUAAGGAAUUAUCGAAAUAGGUGUUAAUUCUAGAAUAAAUAAUGCUUUUAUGUAUUAUAAUUGCAACACCAUUGUGUUUGUUACCACAAUCAUUCCUUUCAACAUUGUAAUUUUUAAUUUUAAAAUUUUGUUCAGGUUUUAACCAAGUUUCACUGAUUAUAGCAAUAUGAAUAUUGUGUGUAUAAAGAAAAUUAAUAAAUAUAUGUUUGUUACUAUUCAGACUUUGGGCAUUCCAUUGUAUUAUAUUUAAAGUUGAUAAAUCCAUUAUGAAGAUGAAGGGAAUUUAUUACUUAGCGUUGCUUUUAAAACUUCUUUAAUGGAAGUAGAAUUAAUAGGGGCAUCUUUAUUACUUAUUAUUUUAAUAAUUGUUUCAACUAAUGUGCUUAUAAAUGUAUCCGAUUUCAUUAAAUUAUUAAUUUGCGUAUCUAAAGUACGAGCAGAAAGAGCUGGAAAUGCAUUGGAGUCAAAAAGUUCUGAAUAUGUGGCAUUUCUAGAUUUUAUUUUAUUUUCUUCAA
Long non-coding RNA from Manduca sexta (tobacco hornworm), 1351 nucleotides. RefSeq lists it as uncharacterized. Lineage: Eukaryota; Metazoa; Arthropoda; Insecta; Lepidoptera; Sphingidae. The transcript is spliced from 4 exons. The record is from RefSeq and is a predicted model, not a curated record.